UCUGGUUGAUCCUGCCAGUAGUUAUAUGCUUGUCUCAAAGAUUAAGCCAUGCAUGUCUAAGUACACACGAAUUAAAAGUGAAACCGCAAAAGGCUCAUUAUAUCAGUUAUGGUUCCUUAGAUCGUUAACAGUUACUUGGAUAACUGUGGUAAUUCUAGAGCUAAUACAUGCAAUUAAAACAUGAACCUUAUGGGACAUGUGCUUUUAUUAGGCUAAAACAAGCGAUCGCAAGAUCGUUAUAUUGGUGAACUCUAGAUAACAUGCAGAUCGUAUGGUCUUGUACCGACGACAGAUCUUUCAAAAUGUCUGCCCUAAUCAACUUUUGAUGGUAGUAUCUAGGACUACCAUGGUUGCAACGGGUAACGGGGAAUCAGGGUUCGAUUCCGGAGAGGGAGCCUGAGAAACGGCUACCACAUCUAAGGAAGGCAGCAGGCGCGUAAAUUACCCACUCCCAGCUCGGGGAGGUAGUGACGAAAAAUAACAAUACAGGACUCAUAUCCGAGGCCCUGUAAUUGGAAUGAGUACACUUUAAAUCCUUUAACAAGGACAAUUGGAGGGCAAGUCUGGUGCCAGCAGCCGCGGUAAUUCCAGCUCCAAUAGCGUAUAUUAAAGUUGUUGCGGUUAAAACGUUCGUAGUUGAACUUGUGCUUCAUACGGGUAGUACAACUUACAAUUGUGGUUAGUACUAUACCUUUAUGUAUGUAAGCGUAUUACCGGUGGAGUUCUUAUAUGUGAUUAAAUACUUGUAUUUUUUCAUAUGUUCCUCCUAUUUAAAAACCUGCAUUAGUGCUCUUAAACGAGUGUUAUUGUGGGCCGGUACUAUUACUUUGAACAAAUUAGAGUGCUUAAAGCAGGCUUCAAAUGCCUGAAUAUUCUGUGCAUGGGAUAAUGAAAUAAGACCUCUGUUCUGCUUUCAUUGGUUUUCAGAUCAAGAGGUAAUGAUUAAUAGAAGCAGUUUGGGGGCAUUAGUAUUACGACGCGAGAGGUGAAAUUCUUGGACCGUCGUAAGACUAACUUAAGCGAAAGCAUUUGCCAAAGAUGUUUUCAUUAAUCAAGAACGAAAGUUAGAGGUUCGAAGGCGAUCAGAUACCGCCCUAGUUCUAACCAUAAACGAUGCCAGCUAGCAAUUGGGUGUAGCUACUUUUAUGGCUCUCUCAGUCGCUUCCCGGGAAACCAAAGCUUUUGGGCUCCGGGGGAAGUAUGGUUGCAAAGCUGAAACUUAAAGGAAUUGACGGAAGGGCACCACCAGGAGUGGAGCCUGCCGGCUUAAUUUGACUCAACACGGGAAAACUUACCAGGUCCGAACAUAAGUGUGUAAGACAGAUUGAUAGCUCUUUCUCGAAUCUAUGGGUGGUGGUGCAUGGCCGUUCUUAGUUCGUGGAGUGAUUUGUCUGGUUAAUUCCGAUAACGAACGAGACUCAAAUAUAUUAAAUAGAUAUCUUCAGGAUUAUGGUGCUGAAGCUUAUGUAGCCUUCAUUCAUGUUGGCAGUAAAAUGCUUAUUGUGUUUGAAUGUGUUUAUGUAAGUGGAGCCGUACCUGUUGGUUUGUCCCAUUAUAAGGACACUAGCUUCUUAAAUGGACAAAUUGCGUCUAGCAAUAAUGAGAUUGAGCAAUAACAGGUCUGUGAUGCCCUUAGAUGUCCUGGGCUGCACGCGCGCUACAAUGAAAGUAUCAACGUGUAUUUCCUAGACCGAGAGGUCCGGGUAAACCGCUGAACCACUUUCAUGCUUGGGAUUGUGAACUGAAACUGUUCACAUGAACUUGGAAUUCCCAGUAAGUGUGAGUCAUUAACUCGCAUUGAUUACGUCCCUGCCCUUUGUACACACCGCCCGUCGCUACUACCGAUUGAAUUAUUUAGUGAGGUCUCCGGACGUGAUCACUGUGACGCCUUGCGUGUUACGGUUGUUUCGCAAAAGUUGACCGAACUUGAUUAUUUAGAGGAAGUAAAAGUCGUAACAAGGUUUCCGUAGGUGAACCUGCGGAAG
RNAcentral lists this ribosomal RNA (1985 nucleotides) under Drosophila melanogaster (fruit fly). Its description in RNAcentral is "SSU rRNA". It matches the Rfam family "Eukaryotic small subunit ribosomal RNA". The record is from RNAcentral. Lineage: Eukaryota; Metazoa; Arthropoda; Insecta; Diptera; Drosophilidae.